RNAcentral lists this non-coding RNA (363 nucleotides) under candidate division Zixibacteria bacterium SM23_73_3. RNAcentral's name for it is "bacterial LSU rRNA". It matches the Rfam family "Bacterial large subunit ribosomal RNA", at positions 2575 to 2925 of the family's 2925-position model. Lineage: Bacteria; Pseudomonadati; Candidatus Zixiibacteriota. The record is from RNAcentral.
GGCUGUUCGCCAAUUAAAGCGGUACGUGAGCUGGGUUUAGAACGUCGUGAGACAGUUCGGUCCCUAUCUGAUGCGGGCGCAGGAUAUUUGAGAGGAGCUGUCCCUAGUACGAGAGGACCGGGAUGGACGAACCUCCAGUGUACCAGUUGUCUCGCCAGAGGCACACGCUGGGUAGCUGUGUUCGUAAGGGAUAAGCGCUGAAAGCAUCUAAGCGCCAAGCCCACCUCAAGAUUAGAUAUCCCUCCCGAUCCUUCGGGAUCGGGACUUAAGGCUCCCGGUAGAUAACCGGGUUGAUAGGUCGCAGAUGUAAGUCCAGUAAUGGAUUCAGUCGAGCGAUACUAAUCAGCCGUGCGACUUGAUCUG